CCAGAUAUGUAAUCAGGUUCACCCUUUUGGAAUGGUAAACAUGACACUAUUCAUCACUCACACAAAUAAAUCACUUAAUAUUUUGAUAAUUGAAUUGGUUUUUGCUGUUAAACCGUUUUUUUUUUUUUUUUUUGUAACACAUUGCACUUUAUGUGUUUACAGAUUUGUGCAGAAUUUGAGACAUACAGAAUUACCAUAGGCCCAUUAGAAUCAACAGUCUUUGCCAAACUGGAUCCACACUACAGAACUUAUGAAGAUGUUUGCAUACUGAAGAAGAGUGCUUGGACAAAUACUGAAACCCUCUUGGUGCCCACUACACAGGCAGGGGUGUCCAGACCUGCUCUAGGAAAGCCAGUGUUCUGUGGAGUUUAGCUCUAACUCACCUGCCUGGAACUUCUAACUAAUGAAAUUGAAGAAUCCAAAUGAAGACCCUAGCAGUAUGGAGUAUAUGGAUACAGACGUUGCCAGCAAUCAGGAGGUGAUCCAGAAGACUCGUGGGAAUCUAUUUAAAGCUGCAUCAUUGAAGACAGUUCAGCAGAAGUUGGAGUUUUAAAGGAUAAAGUUCUUCAGGACCUAGCAGUUUACAGUCUGCAAAACCAUGUUGCUGGGACUGAUAUAUGGACUGAACUUGAGCAACCCUCCUGAA
Molecule: long non-coding RNA, 646 nt
Organism: Carassius carassius (crucian carp)
Lineage: Eukaryota; Metazoa; Chordata; Actinopteri; Cypriniformes; Cyprinidae
Exons: 4
Source: RefSeq, a predicted model, not a curated record